GUAGGGAAUAUUGGGCAAUGGAAGCAAUUCUGACCCAGCCAUGCCGCGUGAAGGAAUACAGCCCUAUGGGUUUUAAACUUCUUUUAUUAUAGAGUAAACGGAGGUACGUGUACCUCCCUGCAAGUAUAUGAUGAAUAAGGAUCGGCUAACUCCGUGCCAGCAGCCGCGGUAAUACGGAGGAUCCAAGCGUUAUCCGGAUUUAUUGGGUUUAAAGGGUGCGCAGGCGGAUCAAUAAGUCAGGGGUGAAAAAUUUCAGCUUAACUGGAAUCGUGCCUUUGAUACUGUUGGACUAGAGUAUAAUUGACGUGACUGGAAUGUGAUGUGUAGCGGUGAAAUGCUUAGAUAUGUCACAGAACGCCAAUCGUGAAGACAGGUCACAAAAUUAUUACUGACGCUCAUGCACGAAAGCGUGGGGAUCAAACAGGAUUAGAAACCCUUGUAGUCC
RNAcentral lists this ribosomal RNA (445 nucleotides) under uncultured bacterium. Its description in RNAcentral is "partial 16S ribosomal RNA". It matches the Rfam family "Bacterial small subunit ribosomal RNA", at positions 354 to 796 of the family's 1533-position model. The record is from RNAcentral.